CCAGUCAACUUGACACAAAUGUGGGAAGCAUUGGAGUCAACAUGGACCAGCAUCCUGUGAAUGCUUUUGACAUCUUGGAGAGCCCAGGUCCCGACGAACUGAGGCUGUUCUGAGGGCAAAAGUGUGGGGGGGUACAACUCAAUAUUAGGAAGUUGUCGUGAACCGUUACUUAAAUGAGUUCGCUGUUCGAGGUCAUUGGACAUCUUAAAGUAUUUACUCUAUGUGGUCUAUGCUUCUCUAGCGCUGCAAAGUGGACCAUUUUUGUUCAAUCUCAAAAUUACAUUGCUUUGUUACUGCAUGAGUCUGACUCUUGGGCUUUGAGAUGAGAUGAUUUCUAUAUCUUAUAUAAGGUUACAAGAGACCUGGUGCACCAGGGCAAAACAUACUAUAAACAUCUCCAAGCCCAGAGUUAGACUCAAGACAUACAAAGUUGUAUUUGGUCACAGAUCUGUUAGGGUUCUAUAAGGCCUAUUUGCCAAAUCACAGCAAAAUCGAUAGAUUCAUUAGAUUCAGGCUCCUAAAUGUUUCUCUAAAAAUAAAUACAUUAUAACAUUUAGAAUUGUCUGUGCAAUAUAUUCCAUCAACAUGUUUUCCUAUUUUUGAUAUGAUAUGACUGUUCUAUUCUUUGAGGUGUAACAGCGCUGGAGACGAUUGGUUAAUUGGUUCUCCUGUUUUUUAUUUUAGCGAAUCGUCGUCAGGAGCUGGAGUGUUUCCAGUUCAUGACUUGGCCAAAUUCCUCAGAAGUCCCUCCUCCAAUUCUAGUGUGUUCUUUAAAGCUCUCCCCACCAAACAGAGCUUUGCUGAGCUAGGUGAGCUGGAGUGGGAGGAAGAGAGGAAGGAGAUGGACAGUAUGUUCCUGACCAAGAGUAGGACCCACAUCCAGGUGACUGAGUCAGGCUGGUACCUGGUCUUUGUCCAAGUCACCUUCUAGCUGCCAGCAGGGAAGGAGACCAGAGACCUAAUGCUAAGGCUGGAUUUCACCUAUUCGGAACAGACGGGCCAGAUUGCCAGUGCCUUCGACAAACGGCAGUUGCUGGAAGAGGAGCAAGACGCCACUGAGUUUCUCUGUCCUUGUGCGGGUGGGGCCGGAGAAUAGACUGUCUGUCCUGGCAAGCCACAGGGCCCUGAUUGAUUGUGAGAGGAGACCCGUCUCCACCUACAUCACCAUCAUUAGAUGCUCUGACUAGCCAAACUGGGCUGGCGUGUGGGCCAAGGUCUACUCGCUUUGGAAUCACUGUCUGUAUGCCAAUCAAAUGCCCACACUUAACAAUGAAAGAAACAAGUAUGUCACCACGACCAAAGACAGGCCUAGAUUCAAUCUCUAAGCUGAAUGUCAGUGUAAAGGUGACCGAAUGUUUCACAGACGAAACAGUUAGGAAGAGUUGGUGCAUAGAGUCGUAAGUCGUAAGUUUACAUACUCCUUAGCCAAAUACAUUUAAACUCAGUUUUUCACAAUUCCUGACAUGUAAUCCUAG
This is a long non-coding RNA of Oncorhynchus tshawytscha (Chinook salmon), 1475 nucleotides long. RefSeq lists it as uncharacterized. Lineage: Eukaryota; Metazoa; Chordata; Actinopteri; Salmoniformes; Salmonidae. The transcript is spliced from 3 exons. The record is from RefSeq and is a predicted model, not a curated record.